RNAcentral lists this long non-coding RNA (317 nucleotides) under Zostera marina. RNAcentral's name for it is "long non-coding RNA (ZMAR_LNC001839)". The record is from RNAcentral. Lineage: Eukaryota; Viridiplantae; Streptophyta; Magnoliopsida; Alismatales; Zosteraceae.
UUGAUCGGCUGGUAUCGCGACAUCCAGAAUCGCAGAUGACCAGAGAUCUGAAUCCCCGACAGCAGUGUUCGAGCAUCGCUCGCAUUCAGAUUGGAGGGGGGAUUCACUCCAUCGGACCCAUCCAAGGUUGCGUGGGUCAUAACUUGUUCAUAUUCGCCGUCCCCAGAACGGCCGACGGGUAGCAACCUUGGAACGCCAUUAAAGGCGAUUUCACAAUGAGCGAACCCAGAUGGGUUCACAGCUCCUAUGUACGUAUCCAAGUCGAGGUCCGGGUCUCGACUAGCAUUCAGGUCCACGGGAGGUGGCGGUGUUCGUUC